This 66-nucleotide transfer RNA is filed under the name Pogonus iridipennis. Its description in RNAcentral is "tRNA-Arg". The record is from RNAcentral. Lineage: Eukaryota; Metazoa; Arthropoda; Insecta; Coleoptera; Carabidae.
AAAUAAGAAGUAAAUUUUUACAUUUAGUUUCGACCUAAAAAUUUGGUGAAUUAUCACCCUUAUUUA